UGUAGGUUGGCGCAAUGGUAGCGCGUGCCCCUCCUAAGGGCAAGGUUGCGGGUUCGACUCCCGUGCUGGUCG
Molecule: non-coding RNA, 72 nt
Organism: Tothia fuscella
Lineage: Eukaryota; Fungi; Ascomycota; Dothideomycetes; Venturiales; Cylindrosympodiaceae
Source: the annotation of a GenBank genome assembly